Paramormyrops kingsleyae is the source of this 1824-nucleotide long non-coding RNA. RefSeq lists it as uncharacterized. The record is from RefSeq and is a predicted model, not a curated record. NCBI's taxonomy places the organism in Eukaryota, Metazoa, Chordata, Actinopteri, Osteoglossiformes, Mormyridae.
UCGUUUAGCAAGUGCUUCAAAACGUUCUACAUUUAGUUCUUAGAAAAGGACUGUAAAAGGUUUUCGGCAAGACAGUGAGAGUGUUAAAGGCACAGAGACACCGGCUGUUGCAGGUACACCAAGGCUUUAUGUCACUGUGUCUGCUAACAAGCUAACAAGCUAACAAGCCUUACCGGACCACUCAGCUGACCACAGUGAGGCUGACUCUCAUUGUCAUGAACCCCAAGAUGGAUUGGCUUCAUAACCAUGUGGGCCAAGCUUUCAGGAGAAGCUUAAAAUUCAAUCGCCAACCACUUCGGUCCUGAAGGGGGGGGGGGGGCACUCUGGAUUUUAAAAUCAGAAGAUGUGUUUGAUUAAGAAGAAUGCAUAUUAAAAUAUUUUAAAUCCAGCUAAUAAAGACACAAGAGACACAUAGGAAAUAAAUAAAGGUAUUUAUUGUAAUUCCACAUUAAUCGUCAUUCUCGAUUCAGUUCUCACAUUUUAAUAGUUAGUUAUUUGACUAUCUAUCUGACAUAAGGUCUGACAUUACCUUUUUUUUCUCAAAUGAUGUCACCUAUGCAGGAUAAUUAAACCUAUGUAAAGGUAAUAGCCCUUAGAUCAAACACAGUCUAUUUCUCAAUAAAUACUGCCCUGUGUAAAAGUAUGAAGACUGGAAUGAUCUCAUCUCUUUUGACCUGUGCUAGUUGGCCACGGAUCCUUUACAGAAAAGGAAAGAAAGGGCUCACUGGCUAAACUGUGGUCAAGGUCCAUGGCUUAAUAACAGCCACAUGUUUAUUACUUAACAAAACAUGUUUAUGACAAACUCAAAAAUCAUUGGCUAGCAGCAUGUAAACCUGUAUUUCAGAAGUUUUGGAACAUACGUUAGCUGCCAUGACUGCAUCCAAACAUUGGUGGGUACAGAUCAACCGCUCACAUCUUCUUUGUCCUUCUUACUGACUGAAUUGCUCUAGCUGGCCCAGAUCUUUUGGCCGUCUUACAAGAACAGCCCUCUUUACGUCUUGCCUCAGCAUUUUUCAUUAGUUGAGGUCUAGCUUUCAUCACGGACAUUCCAUGCAUGACAUUUCUAUCUCUAUGUUGUCCGUAGCUUGAGCUCUUCAUAGGGCCUACCUUGGCGAACAGGCCUAUGAGGAGAAACCAGACAUUCAACAAUGCAUCAAGGGCCUCUGAUGGUGCUAAAACGAACAAGUGAACCUUGGCAAGAAUAUAGAUGCUGUUGUGCUCCUGACCUCAUCCAGAAAGCACUUACCUGAGUGAUUUGAUACCAAGCCUGAAGUAGCGGGGAUGAGCAUCCGUACCUCUCAAUCCACGGCUGUGGUGAUCUCCCCGACAAAAACAGAUUAUUCCUUUCGGGUGAAAAGGGAGAGUCUGCCCUUGGUGACAGAGUUUCAGUACCUCAGGAUCUUCUUCAUGAGUGAUGAUCAAGACAAGCAGUAAUACUCUUUUUCCAUCUGCCGCACCUCCUAUGAGUCCUGUUUCUAAUCAGCUACAGUCAUAUUGCUGAGGUAUGAUGUAAAUAUGAGCUGAAGCAAGGUAGGACUGCAAAGCAUUGUCUAUGGUCUUGUACAGUAGGUCAUUUGGACAUUUCUUGUUGCUUUGUGUGGGCUAAUUUUGAAGGAUGCCACAUGUCUAGACAAAGGAACCAUGGUCUGAAAUGUUCAUUUGUGUCCUGUUUUGUCUUAUCCUACUAUAACCCUAUCCAAAGUAUCCCAUAUAUCCAAAGUGAUGAGCAGUCUCAGCACUCACAAAGGUCCUCUAAAGUCUUGUUAAACUGUGAUGGUGUGUAUUACAUUGAUACGGACAGAUAAUAAAAAAUAACUAGGUUUA